Neltuma alba is the source of this 1596-nucleotide RNA transcript. It is a transcript of the gene named TVP38/TMEM64 family membrane protein slr0305-like, with no coding region annotated. Lineage: Eukaryota; Viridiplantae; Streptophyta; Magnoliopsida; Fabales; Fabaceae. The transcript has 5 exons. The record is from RefSeq and is a predicted model, not a curated record.
GGGAUCAUGGCGCCACCGGGGCUGACGAGCAAAACGACACCGUUCCGUUCCAAAUGGUUUCUUCAUCACGGGGAGAACAACGCAUAAAUUCCUGAAUCGGUUCUUUCGUCAGCGGUCACUGCAUCUGCCAGUCUCCGUUCCUCGAUUCAUUUCUCAUCCCUAUAUACUUCCACCAUCUUAUCAUUGUAGGUCGCUGAUCUUCUGAAUAAAAAUUCCCAUCAUGUUUCUUUGAUAAGGUGUGUUUUUUUUUCAACCGGUGGUUACAAGGAGGGAGCGUAUUUUGGGCCACCGGCCACUCAGGGGUUUGCUUUUUCGAUGGCUUAUUAUGGAGACGAUGGUGGGAGGGCCGAGGUGAUCCCGGAGCUUCCGCUCAGAAUUUGCAGUGACGACAACAAUGGGGAUUACGUAAAAUUGAGGCACGGUCCGGAAAAUGCUGAACCGGCAACCGCCGUAGGUGAGGCGGCGGAGGUUUCACCAACAGGAAGAGUAGGGUCUUUAUGGUAUUGGGUUAAAUUGUUGAUCUUGGCUGUGUGUAUAGGGCUCUUGGUUGCUGUAUUUCUCAAGUGGGUCGGACCCUUUUUCAUGGAUAAGGAGAUUAUUCCAAUACUGAUUUGGGAGAGAACCACGUUCAGUGUUCCAGUGUUAACUGUUCUGCUAUUUGCUUCCAUAGCAUUAUUUCCAACACUAUUUUUACCGUCUACACCUUCUAUGUGGGUGGCUGGGAUGACAUUUGGUUAUGGCCUUGGGUUCUUGCUAAUAAUAUCUGCGGCAUCUGUGGGUGUCUCUCUCCCUUUUUUCAUUGGUUCAAUCUUCCAUCAAAAACUUCAAGGUUGGUUAGAAAGGUAUCCUAAGAAAGCCUCAUUAUUAAGAUCUGCAGGUGAAGGAAAUUGGUUGCAUCAAUUUCGUGCUGUUGCUUUAAUCAGAAUUUCUCCAUUCCCUUACAUAAUCUACAAUUACUGUGCUGUGGCAACAAAUGUUAAGUAUGGACCUUACAUAAUGGGAUCAUUGGUGGGAAUGGUGCCAGAAAUAUUUGUUGCAAUCUACACGGGGAUUCUGAUAAUGACUUUAGCUGAUGCUUCACAUGAAAAACACACUCUAUCUGCCCCUCAAAUUAUCUUUAACGUUAUGGGUUUCUGCUUUACUGUGGCUACAACAAUCUUCUUCACGUUUUAUGCUAAAAAGUGGUUGAAAGAGUUGGGAAGGGAAGACGAAGUUUUAUUGCAAUAAUCCAGUAAUUUUUGGCUUGGUUUCCUCGACUUUCACUGCAUGAGCUAGACACCAGGUCAUAUUGGCAGGUGGUGCACAGUUGGACCUUGCGCUUCACAAUCAAAGCUUUUGUGUUGAGGCGACGCUGGAAGCAGGAUAGAAGAUUCUGAAAAAGCCAUAAUGAUCUCCACAUUGUUCUUAUCCUACUGUGGCGAUGCCACGUCAGAGAGCCUUGUUGGUGUUUUUUUUUUCCCUCCCCUUUUCAUGAGAGAGAUGAAAGAGGGUAAAAAUUAGUACUAUAAUGUAAAGUUUCAGCAUAGUUUAUAAGGACAAUAGAGUAUCAAAAAUUACUCAUAUUUUAUAACAGAUUUAAUAUUUUUAAUUGUUUUU